RNAcentral lists this ribosomal RNA (323 nucleotides) under uncultured Paracercomonas. Its description in RNAcentral is "SSU rRNA". The stretch from base 82 to 323 matches the Rfam family "Eukaryotic small subunit ribosomal RNA", at positions 712 to 955 of the family's 1831-position model. The record is from RNAcentral. Lineage: Eukaryota; Cercozoa; Cercomonadida; Cercomonadidae.
GAUUUCUGGUACGAUGUGCCUGGCCCGUCCUCGUCAGAGGCACGUGUGCCGGAGUGCGUCUGCCAUCUUUCUAGAGAGCAGCACUGCCCUUAACUGGUGUGGUGUUUGUCAUCUAGAUCUUUUACUUUGAAAAAAUUAGAGUGUUUAAAGCAGGCUUGCGCUAUGAAUACAUUAGCAUGGAAUAAUAAUUUAGGACUUUGUUUCUAUUUUGUUGGUUUCUAGAGGCGAAGUAAUGAUUGAUAGGGACAGUUGGGGGUGCUAGUAUUCAGCGGCCAGAGGUGAAAUUCUUGGAUUCGCUGAAGACUAACUUAUGCGAAAGCAUU